CUGAAACAGAACUAUGUUUUUAAUCUUACAGUAAUGGCUCUGUGUUUUUCCCUUUAGAUGACUCAGGGACUUCAAAGAAGAUGAAUUAAAGAUCUGGACAGAAAGGUGCUCCAAGGAUACUGGUGAAAACUACAGUAUGUGGAAGUAACAGGAGGCAUUUCUUUACCCAAACGGUUGUGGGAAUAUUAAACAAAAUACACAGCCAUAAUGUUAAAGCUGAAACUUUGGCUUCCUUUGACAGAAAUAGCUGGAUUAGAUCCUUGGAUUAAUAAACUACUUUUGUAACCUUU
Lepisosteus oculatus (spotted gar) is the source of this 290-nucleotide long non-coding RNA. RefSeq lists it as uncharacterized. The record is from RefSeq and is a predicted model, not a curated record. NCBI's taxonomy places the organism in Eukaryota, Metazoa, Chordata, Actinopteri, Semionotiformes, Lepisosteidae.